This is a long non-coding RNA of Odontomachus brunneus, 1505 nucleotides long. RefSeq lists it as uncharacterized. The transcript is spliced from 4 exons. Lineage: Eukaryota; Metazoa; Arthropoda; Insecta; Hymenoptera; Formicidae. The record is from RefSeq and is a predicted model, not a curated record.
UGAGAAUUAUUUAAGACAAUCUUUAAAUAUAAUAACAUACUAUGAACAAGCCUUAGUGCGCACUCAGUGCACACUAGUGCAAGCAACCGAAUUCGCUAUAAGCCGAAGCUGCGAAGUGUUCCGAACUCAACAUAACCUGCAAAAAUUAAUAGCUUAUAGUGAACAAGUAUUAUUGUUGUACAAAUUGUAGUAGUAUUAUUGUUAAUACAAAUAACAUAAAAAUGAAUAAAAAUAUAAUAACAGUGCUCAACGUGGUUUUUGAGAGUUCGAGUUUAAGUGAUAGUAGUGAUGACGAAGAUAUGAAAAUUAUUUUUUGCGAGAAAAAUAAAUCUCAAAGGAAACCAAGAGUUAAAAAUUUUAUUGAAAAUGUGAUCUACGCCUAUAACACCGAAGAAUUUAAACGACAUUUUCGUAUAUGUCGCAGUACUUUUUAUUUUUUAUUGAAUAUCUUGAGACCAUAUUUGGAAACAGAGAAAAGUGGUCCUGUUAUUUCACCUGAAAAGUUGUAUAUUGCUUUGUGUUAGGAACACCUGAUUCAUAUAGAACUAUUUCAUCCAUUGGCCAACAUCAGAAGAAGCAGAAGUUACUGCCAGGUAUAUACAGAACAAAUAUAACUUCCCAUAUGUAAUUAGAGCUGUGGAUGGGACAUUACAAUCGCAGCUCCAAAAGAAAAUGCACUUGCGUACAUAAAUCGAAAAGGACAUCACUCUAUACAGCUGCAGAGGUAGUUUACAAUCAAAAAAGGGAAUUUAUUCACUGCUACACUGGAAUGCCAGGAUUAGUGCACGCGAUAUGAGAGUGUUUAAAUAUUCUGGUCUACAACACAAAUGUAAUGAGAAUCAUAUUGAUAAUAAUAAAUAUCUCAUUGCUGAUUCAGCUUACACUGUACAAAAAUUUGUGAUGGUGCCAUAUCGAGAUAAUGAACAUUUAACAGCUAAAGAAAUUAAUUACAACUAUGCUCUAUCUAAAAGCAGAAUGAUUGUGAAACAAUCUAUAGAUCUUUUGAAAGGACGAUGGAAAUAUUUAUUGGACAAACUGCCAAUGCGUAGGACAGACUUUAUCCCUUAUUAUAUUAUAGCUUAUUGUGUUCUUCACAAUAUCUGUGUUAUGAAAAGAGAUAAGAUGAAAUACUCAGUUAACCUUCCGGACAAUGUGGAAAAUGGUGGACCUUUGGAAGUUACUCCAGAACAACAACGAGAAGAAGUCAUAAAAAGAGAGCAAAUAAAAAAUUAUCUUACUAUUGUAAGAAAUAACUAAAUGAGAACAAAUUUUGACAUUUACACAUAUGAAGUAUUUUUAUUUUAUACUUUGUUAUGUAUUAUAUUAUAUACUUGUUUUCUUAUGUAUAUAUAUAUAGAUAUUAUGUAUUAUAUUUUAUACCGAAUUUACCAAAAAAAAUCCAAACAUCUUGUAAACGUGAGGGCAAGGUGACCUUAACUUAACAAGUAAUUAUAACAACGGAAUAUGAACAAAGUCGAAAAUAUAUUUGAUUAAACGCAGUUUAA